Non-coding RNA from Epinephelus lanceolatus (giant grouper), 373 nucleotides. NCBI's taxonomy places the organism in Eukaryota, Metazoa, Chordata, Actinopteri, Perciformes, Serranidae. The record is from RefSeq and is a predicted model, not a curated record.
GAGAAGGGCAACAGGUGGCUGUCAACUUAGAGAGAAAGAGGGUCAUCAUCCACUUAGAGAAGAGCAGCAAGUCUGUCUGCCACUCCCCAGGCUCCACUAAGCUGAGCCAAGCACCAGCAGGAGGAGAGACUAAGAUGGAUUUGAUGGCCAAUGAUCAGGGAAGUUCAGGAACUCAGGCGGUAUUGGAAAGCGUUCCCAUCCCAUCCUGCUGGUCAGACUGAGUGGGCUGCAGAAUGAGAGCCAGGCUUGUGGUGAUCCACAGCAUCCUGGGGCUUCCGUGACUUAUCUUACCAGCUCUGCUCAAACAAGAUGGAGUACCAUUGAUCUGACAGAAUGAAGAAAGACCCUAAUUAACUCUGUAUUUACGCAACUU